CGGAUUAGCUUAGUUGGUGAGGUAAUGGCUCACCAAGGCUACGAUCCGUAACUGGUCUGAGAGGAUGAUCAGUCACACUGGAACUGAGACACGGUCCAGACUCCUACGGGAGGCAGCAGUGGGGAAUAUUGGACAAUGGGCGAAAGCCUGAUCCAGCCAUGCCGCGUGUGUGAAGAAGGUCUUCGGAUUGUAAAGCACUUUAAGUUGGGAGGAAGGGUACUUACCUAAUACGUGAGUAUUUUGACGUUACCGACAGAAUAAGCACCGGCUAACUCUGUGCCAGCAGCCGCGGUAAUACAGAGGGUGCAAGCGUUAAUCGGAAUUACUGGGCGUAAAGCGCGCGUAGGUGGUUUGUUAAGUUGGAUGUGAAAGCCCCGGGCUCAACCUGGGAACUGCAUCCAAAACUGGCAAGCUAGAGUAUGGUAGAGGGUGGUGGAAUUUCCUGUGUAGCGGUGAAAUGCGUAGAUAUAGGAAGGAACACCAGUGCGAAGCGACCACCUGGACUGAUACUGACACUGAGGUCGAAA
RNAcentral lists this ribosomal RNA (527 nucleotides) under Pseudomonas sp. Z105. Its description in RNAcentral is "bacterial SSU rRNA". It matches the Rfam family "Bacterial small subunit ribosomal RNA", at positions 237 to 758 of the family's 1533-position model. Lineage: Bacteria; Pseudomonadati; Pseudomonadota; Gammaproteobacteria; Pseudomonadales; Pseudomonadaceae. The record is from RNAcentral.